Molecule: ribosomal RNA, 449 nt
Filed under: uncultured bacterium
Lineage: Bacteria
Description: partial 16S ribosomal RNA
Rfam family: Bacterial small subunit ribosomal RNA
Source: RNAcentral
AACGAACGCUGGCGGCAUGCCUAACACAUGCAAGUCGAACGAAGGCUUCGGCCUUAGUGGCGCACGGGUGCGUAACGCGUGGGAAUCUGCCCCUCGGUUCGGAAUAACAGUUAGAAAUGACUGCUAAUACCGGAUGAUGACUUCGGUCCAAAGAUUUAUCGCCGAGGGAUGAGCCCGCGUAAGAUUAGGUAGUUGGUGGGGUAAAGGCCUACCAAGCCGACGAUCUUUAGCUGGUCUGAGAGGAUGAUCAGCCACACUGGGACUGGGACACGGCCCAGACUCCUACGGGGGGCAGCAGUGGGGAAUAUUGGACAAUGGGCGAAAGCCUGAUCCAGCAACGCCGCGUGAGUGAUGAAGGCCUUAGAGUUGUAAAGCUCUUUUACCAGGGAUGAUAAUGACAGUACCUGGAGAAUAAGCUCCGGCUAACUCCGUGCCAGCAGCCGCCGUAA